GAUGAAGAACGUAGCGAAAUGCGAUAAGUAAUGUGAAUUGCAGAAUUCAGUGAAUCAUCGAAUCUUUGAACGCACAUUGCGCCCGCUGGUAUUCCGGCGGGCAUGCCUGUUCGAGCGUCAUUUCAACCCUCAAGCUCUCCGGAGUUUGGUGUUGGGGCGCCUGGGGCUUUUCGACCUCAGGGCCCUCAAGUCCAUCGGCGGGACCGCCAGGACACUGAGCGCAGUAGUAUUAUUUCGCUCGGUAGGAUCUUCCACGGCGGGUCGCUCUGGCCGCUAAACCCCCCAAUUCUCACCAAAGGUUGACCUCGGAUCAGGUAGGAAUACCCGCUGAACUUAAGCAUAUCAAUAAGCGGAGGA
This 357-nucleotide unclassified non-coding RNA is filed under the name soil metagenome. RNAcentral's name for it is "partial contains 5.8S ribosomal RNA, internal transcribed spacer 2, and large subunit ribosomal RNA". The stretch from base 1 to 120 matches the Rfam family "5.8S ribosomal RNA", at positions 35 to 154 of the family's 154-position model. The record is from RNAcentral.